This 179-nucleotide ribosomal RNA is filed under the name Colletotrichum gloeosporioides. RNAcentral describes it as "5.8S ribosomal RNA". The stretch from base 17 to 170 matches the Rfam family "5.8S ribosomal RNA". Rfam says of the family: 5.8S ribosomal RNA (5.8S rRNA) is a component of the large subunit of the eukaryotic ribosome. It is transcribed by RNA polymerase I as part of the 45S precursor that also contains 18S and 28S rRNA. The record is from RNAcentral. Lineage: Eukaryota; Fungi; Ascomycota; Sordariomycetes; Glomerellales; Glomerellaceae.
UACAAGCAAAUAAUCAAACUUUUAACAACGGAUCUCUUGGUUCUGGCAUCGAUGAAGAACGCAGCGAAAUGCGAUAAGUAAUGUGAAUUGCAGAAUUCAGUGAAUCAUCGAUUCUUUGAACGCACAUUGCGCCCGCCAGCAUUCUGGCGGGCAUGCCUGUUCGAGCGUCAUUUCAACCC